GUAACGCGUAUGCAAUCUGCCUUCCCAGAGGGAUAGCCCAGAGAAAUUUGGAUUAAUACCUCAUAGCAUCAUGACCCGGCAUCGGGAUAUGAUUAAAGUCACAACGGUGGAAGAUGAGCAUGCGUCCCAUUAGCUAGUUGGUAAGGUAACGGCUUACCAAGGCUACGAUGGGUAGGGGUCCUGAGAGGGAGAUCCCCCACACUGGUACUGAGACACGGACCAGACUCCUACGGGAGGCAGCAGUGAGGAAUAUUGGUCAAUGGGCGCAAGCCUGAACCAGCCAUGCCGCGUGCAGGAUGACGGUCCUAUGGAUUGUAAACUGCUUUUGUACGGGAAGAAACCCUCCUACGUGUAGGAGCUUGACGGUACCGUAAGAAUAAGGAUCGGCUAACUCCGUGCCAGCAGCCGCGGUAAUACGGAGGAUCCAAGCGUUAUCCGGAAUCAUUGGGUUUAAAGGGUCUGUAGGCGGUCUUGUAAGUCAGUGGUGAAAGCCCAUCGCUCAACGGUGGAACGGCCAUUGAUACUGCUGGACUUGAAUUAUUGGGAAGCAACUAGAAUAUGUAGUGUAGCGGUGAAAUGCUUAGAGAUUACAUGGAAUACCAAUUGCGAAGGCAGGUUGCUACCAAUGGAUUGACGCUGAUGGACGAAAGCGUGGGUAGC
This 660-nucleotide ribosomal RNA is filed under the name uncultured Flavobacterium sp. RNAcentral's name for it is "bacterial SSU rRNA". It matches the Rfam family "Bacterial small subunit ribosomal RNA", at positions 110 to 769 of the family's 1533-position model. The record is from RNAcentral. Lineage: Bacteria; Pseudomonadati; Bacteroidota; Flavobacteriia; Flavobacteriales; Flavobacteriaceae.